AACGCUAGCUACAGGCUUAACACAUGCAAGUCGAGGGGCAGCAUGCAGGAAGCUUGCUUCCUGCGAUGGCGACCGGCGGAUGGGUGAGUAACGCGUAUCCAACCUGCCCCGUGCUCGGGGACAGCCCUUAGAAAUGAGGAUUAACCCCCGAUGGCGUGGAUUUUCCGCAUGGGAUUUCCACUAAAGUUUACGGCACGGGAUGGGGAUGCGUUCCAUUAGAUGGUAGGCGGGGCAACGGCCCACCUAGUCUACGAUGGAUAGGGGUUCUGAGAGGAAGGUCCCCCACAUUGGAACUGAGACACGGUCCAAACUCCUACGGGAGGCAGCAGUGAGGAAUAUUGGUCAAUGGACGGAAGUCUGAACCAGCCAAGUAGCGUGAAGGAAGACUGCCCUAUGGGUUGUAAACUUCUUUUAUAAGGGAAUAAAGUGUGCCACGUGUGGUGCUUUGCAUGUACCUUAUGAAUAAGCAUCGGCUAAUUCCGUGCCAGCAGCCGCGGUAAUACGGAGGAUGCGAGCGUUAUCCGGAUUUAUUGGGUUUAAAGGGAGCAUAGACGGGUUGUUAAGUCAGUUAUGAAAGUUUGCGGCUCAACCGUAAAAUUGCAGUUGAUACUGGCGACCUAGAGUGCGGCAGAGGAAGGCGGAAUUCGUGGUGUAGCGGUGAAAUGCUUAGAUAUCACGAAGAACUCCGAUUG
Molecule: ribosomal RNA, 692 nt
Filed under: uncultured Bacteroides sp.
Lineage: Bacteria; Pseudomonadati; Bacteroidota; Bacteroidia; Bacteroidales; Bacteroidaceae
Description: bacterial SSU rRNA
Rfam family: Bacterial small subunit ribosomal RNA
Source: RNAcentral